UAUUGGACAAUGGGGGAAACCCUGAUCCAGCCAUGCCGCGUGUGUGAAGAAGGCCUUUUGGUUGUAAAGCACUUUAAGCAGUGAAGAAGACUCUUCGGUUAAUACCCGGAGACGAUGACAUUAGCUGCAGAAUAAGCACCGGCUAACUCUGUGCCAGCAGCCGCGGUAAUACAGAGGGUGCAAGCGUUAAUCGGAAUUAGUGGGCGUAAAGCGGGCGUAGGUGGCUUGAAAAGUCAGAUUUGAAAUCCCCGGGCUUAAACUGGGAACUGCAUCCGAUACUGUCAGGCUAGAGUAGGUGAGAGGAAGGUAGAAUUCCAGGUGUAGCGGUGAAAUGCGUAGAGAUCUGGAGGAAUACCGAUGGCGAAGGCAGCCUUCUGGCAUCAUACUGACACUGAGGCUCGAAAGCGUGGGUAGCAAACA
Molecule: ribosomal RNA, 420 nt
Filed under: uncultured bacterium
Lineage: Bacteria
Description: bacterial SSU rRNA
Rfam family: Bacterial small subunit ribosomal RNA
Source: RNAcentral